RNAcentral lists this ribosomal RNA (784 nucleotides) under Porphyromonas sp. RNAcentral's name for it is "partial 23S ribosomal RNA". It matches the Rfam family "Bacterial large subunit ribosomal RNA", at positions 75 to 851 of the family's 2925-position model. The record is from RNAcentral. Lineage: Bacteria; Pseudomonadati; Bacteroidota; Bacteroidia; Bacteroidales; Porphyromonadaceae.
GCCCGGGGGAGGUGCACAGGACCUGUGAUACCGGGAUAUCCGAAUGGGAGAACCUGCAUACCUGGAGGGUAUGCGCGAGAGAGGUAAGCCGGCGAACUGAAACAUCUAAGUAGCCGGAGGAGAAGAAAGUAAAAACGAUUCCCUGAGUAGCGGCGAGCGAACGGGGAGGAGCCUAAACCGUAUAAGUGUUAAAGCUGGCGGCGUUGCAUAUACGGGGUAGAGGGAACAUACUGGACUGAUGCCAUAAGGUCGAGUGUAUCAUGAUGUAAGCGGAACGCGGCUGGAAAGCCGGACCGUAGGAGGUGAGAGUCCUGUAUAGCGUAAAGUCAUGACAGCUUGUAUGGAAUCCCGAGUAGCAUCGGACACGAGGAAUCCGGUGUGAAUCAGCGUGGACCAUAUCACGUAAGGCUAAAUACUUCCGCCGACCGAUAGAGGAGAGUACCGUGAGGGAAAGGUGAAAAGAACCCUGAGCAAGGGAGUGAAAGAGAAUUUGAAACCGUGUGCUUACAAGCGGUAGGAGCCCUUAUGGGUGACUGCGUGGAUUUUGGUUAAUCAUCCUGCGAGUUAUGAUGUGUGGCGAGGUUAAGUGAAAGCGGAGCCGAAGGGAAACCGAGUCUUAAUAGGGCGACGAGUCGCAUGUCAUAGACGCGAAACCUAGUGAUCUAGGCCUGUCCAGGCUGAAGCUGAGGUAAGACUCAGUGGAGGGCCGAACUCACCGCCGUUGAAAAGUUGGGAGAUGAGAUAGGUCUAGGGGUGAAAAGCCAAUCGAACUAGGAGAUAGCUC